UGUAGCAGUUGUUUGAUCGCUGUGUUUGAUUUCGCAGAGGAAAGUCCGGGCUUCAUGUAAGCAAGGUGCCGGAUAACGUCCGGCGUCAAGGAUUGGAAAGUUCUUGAUAGGGAAAGUGCAACAGAAAAUAUACCGCCUUCUUUCGAAGGUAAGGGUGAAAUGGUGACGGUAAGAGCGCACCGCACAUUUGGUAACGGAUGUGGCACGGCAAACCCCAUCUGAAGCAAGACCAAAUAGGAGCGACGCGAAGAAAUUCGUGAGAGCUUGCACUCAUAGGUCGCUCGGGUAGGUCGCUUGAGCUCAUUGGUAACAAUGAGCCUAGAUGAAUGAUCAAACAGAGGAAAUAUCCUCGGACAGAACCCGGCUUAUAGGCUGCUACACCGU
This 384-nucleotide RNase P RNA is filed under the name Holosporales bacterium. Its description in RNAcentral is "RNase P RNA component class A". It matches the Rfam family "Bacterial RNase P class A". From Rfam's summary of the family: Ribonuclease P (RNase P) is a ubiquitous endoribonuclease, found in archaea, bacteria and eukarya as well as chloroplasts and mitochondria. Its best characterised activity is the generation of mature 5'-ends of tRNAs by cleaving the 5'-leader elements of precursor-tRNAs. Cellular RNase Ps are ribonucleoproteins. The record is from RNAcentral. Lineage: Bacteria; Pseudomonadati; Pseudomonadota; Alphaproteobacteria; Holosporales.